Molecule: long non-coding RNA, 1006 nt
Filed under: Mytilus galloprovincialis (Mediterranean mussel)
Lineage: Eukaryota; Metazoa; Mollusca; Bivalvia; Mytilida; Mytilidae
Source: RNAcentral
CUUUUAUGGUCAUAAACCUUGUGUUUAAAUUUCAUAGAUUUCUAUUUACUUAUACUAAAGUUAUGGUGCGAAAACUAAGAAUAAUGCUUAUUUGGGCCCUUUUUUGGCCCCUAAUUCCUAAACUGUUGUGACCUCAACUCCAAAAAUCAAUCCCAACCUUCCUUUUGUGGUCAUAAACCUUGUGUUUAAAUUUCAUUGAUUUCUAUUUACUUAUACUAAAGUUAUUGUGCGAAAACCAAGAAUAAUGCUUAUUUGGGCCCUUUUUUGGCCCUUAAUUCCUAAACUGUUGGAACCAAACCUCCCAAAAUCAAUCCCAACCGUCCUUUUGUGGUCAUAAACCUUGUGUCAAAAUUUCAUAGAUUUCUAUUCACUUAAACUAAAGUUAUAGUGCGAAAACCAAGAAAAUGCUUAUUUGGGCCCUUUUUGGCCCCUAAUUCCUAAAAUGUUGGUACCAAAACUCCCAAAAUCAAUACCAACCUUCCUUUUGUGGUCAUAAACCUUGUUAGAUUUCCAUUCACUUUUACUAAAGUUAGAGUGCGAAAACUAAAAGUAUUCGGACGACGACGACGACGACGCCGACGACGCCAACGUGAUAGCAAUAUACGACGAAAAAUUUUUCAAAUUUUGCGGUCGUAUAAAAAAAUGAAUGUAAUUUAAAAGUAUUUCGCUUAUAAAAUCCGUUAGAACUUAUUUUAGAAAGCUAUCUGAAAAAAAGGUGAGUGCUAUAACGGGUUUUUUUUUUUUUGGCUAACGUCUUCAAGUGUGUAACGGUCUAGGUGACACUAGUAUCGUGCAUAGUAUGAAGCUUCAUUUUUAUGAAGCCCAGGUGGUCGUGUGGUCUAGCGGGACGGCUACAGUGCAGGCGAUUUGGUGUUACGAUAUCUCAGUAGCAUGGGUUCGAAUCCCGGCGAGGUAAGAACGCAAAUUCACAGAUCUAACAUUGUUGGGUUGAUGUUUAGACGAGUUGUAUAUACAUUAUGUACACAGCCAUGCAUCACUAUCACUG